AGUGAACGCUGGCGGCAUGCCUAACACAUGCAAGUCGAACGGCAGCACAGUAAGAGCUUGCUCUUACGGGUGGCGAGUGGCGGACGGGUGAGGAAUACAUCGGAUUCUACUUUUUCGUGGGUGAUAACGUAGGGAAACUUACGCUAAUACCGCAUACGACCUACGGGUGAAAGCAGGGGAUCUUCGGACCUUGCGCGAUUGUAUUAGCCGAUGUCGGAUUAGCUAGUUGGCGGGGUAAAGGCCCACCUAGGCGACGAUCCGUAGCUGGUCUGAGAGGAUGAUCAGCCACACGGGAAAUGAGACACGGUACAGACUCCGAAGGGAGGCAGCAGUGGGGAAUAUUGGGAAAUGGGCGAAAGCCUGAUCGAGCAAUACCGCGUGAGUGAAGAAGGCCUUAGGGUUGGAAAGCGCUGUUGUUGGGAAAGAAAAGAAGCAGUUUAACACACGGCUGUAAUGACGGUACCGAAAGAAUAAGCACCGGCUAACUUCGUG
Molecule: ribosomal RNA, 492 nt
Filed under: uncultured bacterium
Lineage: Bacteria
Description: partial 16S ribosomal RNA
Rfam family: Bacterial small subunit ribosomal RNA
Source: RNAcentral